CAUUUGUUUUUUCGUGUUAAAUGUUUAACUAUUCGUUUUAUUUAAAAAAAUUUUACGAUUAAUAUUUUUGUUCUUAGUAGACGAUAAAACAUGAAUAGUAUUUUAUGUGUGUAAUUUUUUUAAGUUUUUAUAUAAAUUUUUCAAAUAAGACGAAUGGUCAAACGUUACGCACGGAAAAAUAAAAAAUGAUCUUAUU
This 196-nucleotide microRNA precursor is filed under the name Oryza brachyantha (malo sina). Its description in RNAcentral is "MIR812 microRNA precursor family". It matches the Rfam family "MIR812 microRNA precursor family". Lineage: Eukaryota; Viridiplantae; Streptophyta; Magnoliopsida; Poales; Poaceae. The record is from Rfam by way of RNAcentral.